Molecule: unclassified non-coding RNA, 2369 nt
Filed under: Rhipicephalus microplus (southern cattle tick)
Lineage: Eukaryota; Metazoa; Arthropoda; Arachnida; Ixodida; Ixodidae
Description: monocarboxylate transporter 9-like, transcript variant X1
Source: RNAcentral
GCGGGAAGUGCAUGUGGACGAUCCCUCGCCGCAGUUGUUGUUCCGAGGUGCGUGCCGCGAUCUUGGAGCAGACUCGCGGCCGCCGCAGGUGCCAAUGAACGGGUUGUGUUCGUGAUGCCCAGCGGCCGUGAGUAGAUGAUGGAGAGGAGGACAGAGCAGAAGCCGUGCCUCUCCUCAUCUGUCUCUGGCCUUUUCAGUUGUUUUCUCGUGUACGGGUGAACCAAAUCGAGCGACAACGCCAUCGCUCUCCAAAGAAUACCUUCCACCACGCGAGGCCUGUUCUUACACCGAGCAUCCGCACUGUGCUGCAUGGAAUCGCUGAGUGCGUCGAUCCCUUUAUCCCCUCGGAUACGUGCCAUCCACAGCAUCCACGGGAGAAACAGCGCGGCUACGUGACGGCGCUACGCCAUAACAUUCUGACCGCUAACUGAAGCCAUGUCGAUCAGAUCCAAAAGCAAUGGUUGCGCACCUUCAGAGACCUCUGGGACAACGAAGGCUGAGUUGGGGAGAACUUCGCGAAAUGAGCGCUCCACUAUGCCAUGGUAUGGGCCGGACAGCCGACACAGCUGGAUUACGGCCGCGGCUUGCAGUUUGUCCACUUUCUUCGGCGUUGCUGCCCGUCGGUCAGCUGGCUUUCUAUAUGUGGCCAUUCUACAGACGUUUCACGCCACACGAAGCGAGGCCGCGUGGGCCGUCAUCAUCAUGACCGGCAUCAUAUCGCUAGCAGGGCUCAUAUCUGGUCCCAUCGCGCACAAGUACACCGCCCGGCCUGUGGCCAUCACAGGAGGCGUGAUCGCAGCGUUGGGCCUCAUGCUGUGCUUCCUUGCAACACGCAUUGAGCAUCUCAUCAUGAGCCUGGGAAUAUUGCACGCAAUUGGGAGCGGCUUGGUGUUCGUGGUGAUUCCGACGGUGAUCAACGAGCACUUCGUCCGCUACAGGGGUAUCGCCAUGGGCAUCAACUUUGCCGGCUCCACCAUGGCCACGUUCGUCUUCCCCCAGACGUUGGAGGUGCUCACCGAUGCGUACGGCUUCCGAGGUGCCAUGCUGCUGUUCGGCGCCAUCAGCCUCAACUCUGUCGCAUUCAGCCUCUUCCUGAGGCAACCGGAGUGGCUGAAGAGGCGCCAGGAGAUACAAACGAAAGCAGCCGCCGCAGCCACCGAGAUAUCUGCGGAUGCGAACACCACUUGCAAGGCUCAAAAUGGUUCAUUAGAACCUGCUAAUGGAAGCCUACCAAAGAUGAAUACUCGCAAGGCACCGGUCCCCGGAUCGUUCCGGCAUGCCCUGACGGUCUUCUCUUGCCCCAUGUUCUACCUGGUCGCCUACUCGUACAUCGCCUUCAUCUUCGCCUUUGAAUGCUACAUUUCACUCCUGAUUGACUUCGCCAUUGACAAAGGCGUCAGCUUUUCGCGGGCCGUGACAAUGAUCUCGUUGAGCUCGAUUGCAGACUUGGUGGGCCGCCUCACGCUUCCCUUGGCUGCCGAUAGGGGCUACAUAAGUCGGCAGACGCUGGUGACUGUCACCUUCCUGUGCCUUGGAUCGCUGUUCGUGCUUGUUCCAUUGGCAUCGAGCUACGCCGCUCUCUUCACAUUCGCCACGGCGAUCGCCUUCUGCAUCGGCAUCGUGAUGUGCCUGGUCUCCGUACUACUGGCGGAGUACGUGGGCGUCGACCGUGUAUCCAUGGCCUACGGCAUGGUCUCAGGAUUCUCUGGUGUUACGUCGCUCUUUAAGCCUCUAAUAAUAGGCUACUUCAGGGACGUCAUCGGGGCAUACGACAAGCUAUUCAUCAUAUGCGGAUCUGGAGUCCUUCUGGGUGGAUUCAUGUGGAUCGCUGUGCGUCUGCGGGACAUUACCAAACGGACCAAGCGCUGGGAUGUAAAGACUAUCGAAGCAAGCAACAGUGUACAAGUCGCGGCUGUUCUUCCGAAGUACAGCUACAGUGCAGCAGAGCUACCACCUGCAUAUGCUUUUUGACCAGCGUUACCUUGUCAAGGCGUGUGACUCUAAGCUUGGAAACACAGUGCACUAUGUGCACUUUGUACUAUUUCAUCUGAAGUGACUGUUUUGCUUUGUUAAAAGGCCACUGUGUCGACUCGAAGAAAAACAUCAGUGUGUACCAUCAAGCUCAACUAACAUCGUUUUCAUUGUAAUUUAUGUAUAUAAUACAGGCAUUCCAUCAUCAAACAACUCUUGGAGUGUGUACCUACUGAUACACAGGUAUGUCGUAGAGUUAGGUGAGCUGCACGUGCGUAAUGACAGAGCUCCGCUUCAUCUAGUCUUCAAUAGAUGCAAGAAAUACAUCGAUUCAGUCAAUCAUGACAACAUGGUACGUGUUAUAAUAAAGAAGAAGAAAACGUACAAGGUAUAUUUCU